CUGUGUGGCCUUGCGGGGGCCCCUCGAUUCCCAGCCAGUGACAGGGAAUCUACGCAGCACCAGUCCGAGGCGCUGUGUGAGACCGGGCUGGAGACCUUUGGCCAAGCAGCUACGGAAGGCCAGGGCAAGGGUUCUCAUGGGCCUCAUUGCCCAAGGAAGGGGCUGUUGCUAGUGGAAUGAAGGCUGUUGCAGGAGAGGUUUACCAAAUCAGAAGAUCCUCUUCUAUAAGCUUUUCUCUCUCUCUCCCUGCACUCAGGGAGCACUUUCCUGUAGAUCCCCUUUCCUGUAGGGCCACAGCUGAGCCGAGCAUGCCAGCACUGAGAAGGAAACUCUCUCCUUCUCUAGAAUCAUGGUUCUAUUCACUGUGUCUAUCCAUGUGGCAACUCCCACAGGAAUUUGUCAGACUUCAAGUUAGCCAAGAAGAGUUCCUAUGUAUGAAAGCUCUAUUACUUCUCAACACAAGAAAAAACAAUUUGUCAGAUCUUUGGGAAAAGGAACACACCUAACCGUUGUUGCUGAGACAUUUAGUAAAUGUUUGGUACUGUAUAAAUACAAUACUCUCCACAAAACUGUGUUCAAAAAAACAUAUAACUUGAUUGUUGCUUUAUAGUGGUUUUUUUUAAGACUGUUUUUAUUUCAGUCAUGCUAUUCACCUUAAUCCUCUUCAAAUGUGAAAGUAUGGCCAUUUCAAACUUUCAUAUACUAACAGUAAAUCAAGUCUGAACUUCUAGUCUCUCAUUCUGUCUUCUAUUUAAUUUAUUAUUUAGAUGAACUAGUUUUACUUUUUAUAUCAUAUUAAAGAAACGUAAUUUGUAUUUAACAUAAAUGUCAAUAUCAAUACAUUUCUAAUUCUGAAUGGAAACCCCAACUUAAGUUUUAACAUUAUUUUAAAUUUUACCUUUUUCCUUUGAGUUUGCUGUGGUUUAGUUUUUUCACUGCACUUGUGACAGUUUUAAAGCUGUCUUGAAAGUAGAAGUAGUCAUUGCAAAAUGUGGACCAACUUUUUCAUUUUCUAUAAUUGUUUCCAUUUUACAGUUCCUUAUAUGCUUUACAUAUUUACGCAUUUUAUAUGCUGUGCUGUUACAAUGCCCCAAAGUUCUCAACAGGACUCCAUCUAGCAGAUGCUGCAUACAUCUAGGAAGUAGAACUCUAAAUAGUUCAGAACGAACAGGGUUUAUGAAAGUAGAGCUAUGCCAGAAAAGAGAAAUAAUCUCAUAGCAAGGUCAGUUUUAACUCCAAUGUUCAGAUUUUUUGAUUUAGAGGAAUUACAAAAACCUUGCUGCAUAAGAUUUUGACUGGGUUAUUGCCAGUGAAUAAAAGUGCUGGCGUUCUUGACUUAUAUUCA
RNAcentral lists this long non-coding RNA (1345 nucleotides) under Anas platyrhynchos platyrhynchos (common mallard). RNAcentral's name for it is "lncRNA (ENSAPLG00000024867.1)". Lineage: Eukaryota; Metazoa; Chordata; Aves; Anseriformes; Anatidae. The record is from RNAcentral.